This 1227-nucleotide ribosomal RNA is filed under the name Triticum aestivum (bread wheat). RNAcentral describes it as "partial small subunit ribosomal RNA". The record is from RNAcentral. Lineage: Eukaryota; Viridiplantae; Streptophyta; Magnoliopsida; Poales; Poaceae.
AUGUCAUCGGAUAGUGAAAGUGAUGAUGACACAAAUUAUGAAAGAAAGAAAAUUAUGGUUUUCCAAUAUCAACAUGAUAUGGACAUGCGUUGUUCGGGUGUGUCAUCCAUAGUUGGGAAGUAUUGUAAAAGUUGGGUCAUGAAGGCCGACCCUAGGACAUCUAGGUUGAGUGGGUUUGAAUGGUUGCAAGAGACUAUUGGAACACCCGGAGAGACGUACACAAUGUUGAGAAUGAAUGCAAAUGUGUUUUUUGAUCUUCAUGACAAGUUGGUGGGGGAGUAUGGCCUCAAAGAAACAUGCUUCGUUACCACUUAUGAGUCUCUAGCUAUGUUCUUGUGGACCUUGGGAGGGUGCGAAUCAAAUAGGAGAACCCAAAACCGUUUCAAACAUGGAGCGGAUACAGUCCACCGAAAGUUCCAUGAGGUUCUACAAUGUGUGGUCAAGAUGUCAUCUCACUACAUUAGGCCUCAAGACCCAAAUUUUCGCAUCGUGCAUGAUAGGAUUAAGCGUGACAAAAGGGCUUAUCCUCAUCUCAAAGACUGCAUUGAUGCAAUAGAUGGGACACAUGUCAGGGCUUCUAUUCCGGAAGGACCUUCAAAAGUAAGGUAUAUUAGAAGAACAGGUGCAACAACUCAGAAUGUGAUGGCAGUAUGUGACUUUGAUAUGCAUUUCACCUACGCUUCAAUUGGACAACCGGGUUCUAUGCAUGAUACAAGUGUGUUAUUCCAUGCAAUCGAAAAUGACAAGGCCACAUUCCCGCAUCCUCCAAAGGGCAAGUAUUACCUAGUAGACGCCGGCUAUCCUAACAGGGAUGGCUAUCUAGCACCAUACAAAGGAGAACGCUAUCAUGUCCCCGACUUCCAGAAAGGUGCACCCCCAACUACUCCUAUAGAAAAGUUCAACCGGAUCCACUCCUCCAAGCGCAAUACCAUAGAGAGAACUUUUGGUGUUUGGAAGAUGAAAUGGCAAAUCUUGCUUAAGAUGCCAAACUACUCAAUUGUUGCGGCUACUAUGACACUACACAACUACGUUCGCCUCCAUGACAAAGAGGAUCUCCACUUUCUUCGGUGUGAGAGGGAUCCGGAUUAUGUUCCAACUAUUCCAGAUAGAUACAAGAAAUACGUUAUUCCUCCAAAUGCAUCAGAUGCUUCAACAUCGGCGGAAAGUACUCCUAAUAUGGAUUUGUUUAGGCAUGAACUUGCUACCGCCAUUGCUCUUAGUUGGUGA